Molecule: unclassified non-coding RNA, 204 nt
Filed under: soil metagenome
Description: partial contains 5.8S ribosomal RNA, internal transcribed spacer 2, and large subunit ribosomal RNA
Source: RNAcentral
AACAAGGCGUACCUGCGGACCUGCGGAAGGAUCAUUACCGAGUUUACAACUCCCAAACCCCUGUGAACAUACCAAUUGUUGCCUCGGCGGAUCAGCCCGCUCCCGGUAAAACGGGACGGCCCGCCAGAGGACCCCUAAACUCUGUUUCUAUAUGUAACUUCUGAGUAAAACCAUAAAUAAAUCAAAACUUUCAACAACGGAUCU